RNAcentral lists this ribosomal RNA (270 nucleotides) under uncultured archaeon. Its description in RNAcentral is "partial 16S ribosomal RNA". It matches the Rfam family "Archaeal small subunit ribosomal RNA", at positions 477 to 747 of the family's 1478-position model. The record is from RNAcentral.
CAGCACCUCAAGUGGUCAGGAUGAUUAUUGGGCCUAAAGCAUCCGUAGCCUGUUCUAUAAGUUUCCGGUUAAAUCCAUUAGCUCAACUAAUGGGCCGCCGAAAAUACUGUGGAACUAGGGAGUGGGAGAGGUAGACGGUACUCGGUAGGAAGGGGUAAAAUCCUUUGAUCUAUUGAUGACCACCUGUGGCGAAGGCGGUCUACCAGAACACGUUCGACGGUGAGGGAUGAAAGCUGGGGGAGCAAACCGGAUUAGAUACCCGAGUAGUCC